CUUUGGGAAAGAUCCAAGUUGGUGAAUUGCUGUCCAAAGUCUUUGGUUUACUCAUCAAACACAAGGUGAAGCUGGAAAGUAAUUUCGCCUCCAUCGUGUUUGCCAUCAUGGUGCUAGAGGGUCUGGGCAGGUC
Micropterus salmoides (largemouth bass) is the source of this 133-nucleotide long non-coding RNA. RefSeq lists it as uncharacterized. Lineage: Eukaryota; Metazoa; Chordata; Actinopteri; Centrarchiformes; Centrarchidae. The transcript is spliced from 3 exons. The record is from RefSeq and is a predicted model, not a curated record.